AAAGAUAAUCAUAUUGAGUAAUACGGGAAAGAUAGUCAUGCGUCAAAUUUACGCAUGUUUUUUAGUUAGCUCUAAGUCGCGGUAUAUUGUUUUUUUUCUAUAAAUUGUAAGUUAUUAUAUAUUUACAGUUAUGUUAGAAUAAUUAAUAUUACAAAUAAUUUAUUUUUAAUUAUUUUUAUACAUAUAAAAAAACGAAAACAUUAAACGUCUGCUUUAAAUCUACAAUUCUUGUAACACGAGGAAUUUGCCUUUCGUCAUAUUUCAGAAGGACAAAUCGUAUAGUAAAUACGUUUUUUUUUUACGGAAGGCCUCCUCAGUACUUUCUUACGAUGUACCAGAUACUUCAUUUGGCAACAAAUUGGAGAUAUUAUCACGCAAAUAUCUUAUCAAAGCUGGUGAUUCUAAACACCCACGCAUAAACAAAGAAGACGGUUCCAUGCUUCUAUAUUUCAUGUUUUUUUGACUCGGAUGUUUUUGUGCUUUGAUGUUAACAUUGUGGCUAUAAAUUUAAUAUGCAAUA
Molecule: long non-coding RNA, 520 nt
Organism: Colias croceus (clouded yellow)
Lineage: Eukaryota; Metazoa; Arthropoda; Insecta; Lepidoptera; Pieridae
Exons: 2
Source: RefSeq, a predicted model, not a curated record